GGGGAAUUUUGCACAAUGGGGGCAACCCUGAUGCAGCGACGCCGCGUGAACGAAGACGGUCUUCGGAUUGUAAAGUUCUGUCCUGGGUGAAGAAAAAGACGGUAAUCCAGGAGGAAGCCCCGGCUAACUACGUGCCAGCAGCCGCGGUAAUACGUAGGGGGCGAGCGUUGUCCGGAAUUAUUGGGCGUAAAGGGUGCGUAGGCGGUUUUUUAAGUUUGUCGUGAAAGCCCGGGGCUUAACCCCGGUAAGCGAUGAAAACUGGAAGACUUGAGUGAUGGAGAGGAACGUGGAAUUCCUGGUGUAGCGGUGAAAUGCGUAGAGAUCAGGAGGAAUACCAGUGGCGAAGGCGACGUUCUGGACAUUAACUGACGCUGAGGCACGAAAGCGUGGGGAGCAAAC
Molecule: ribosomal RNA, 399 nt
Filed under: uncultured bacterium
Lineage: Bacteria
Description: bacterial SSU rRNA
Rfam family: Bacterial small subunit ribosomal RNA
Source: RNAcentral